RNAcentral lists this long non-coding RNA (4124 nucleotides) under Sarcophilus harrisii (Tasmanian devil). RNAcentral describes it as "lncRNA (ENSSHAG00000030432.1)". Lineage: Eukaryota; Metazoa; Chordata; Mammalia; Dasyuromorphia; Dasyuridae. The record is from RNAcentral.
GUGGUCACACUACAACAAGAACUAGGCAAAAGGGAAACAUUUUGGCAAACAGAACUAGACAAGCAGGUCACAACUCUUAAAGGCCAGGAUUACUGGGUCACAACCCUAUGGGACAUAAAAGACAAAGAUAGAACUUCACCUGACCUUCACCAUGGGGCUACAUCUCUACCCAUACAUGAAGAUCAGGAUUCAGACGUAUCAGACCUCAGUGACCAGGUCACACUACAACAAGAACUGGGUAAAAGGGGAACAUUUUGGCCAAUAGAACCAAACAAACAGGCCACAACUCUCAAAGACCAGAAUUACUGGGUCACAGCCCUAUGGGACAUAAAAGACAAAGACAGGACUUCACCUGACCUUCCCUUUAGGGCCACACCUCUAUCCAGACACAAGGACCAGGAUUCAGAUAUAUCAGACCUCAGUGCCCAGGUCACACUCCAACAAGAACUGAGCAAAAGGGAAACAUCUUAUCCAACAGAGAUAGAAAAGCAGGCCACAAUUCUAAAAGACAAAGUUUACUGGGCAACACCCACACUGGAUCUAAAACAUGAAGAAAGAACUUCACCUGACCUCCACCAUGGGGCUACAUCUUCACUCAGCUGUGAGGACCAGGAUUCAGGUGCAAUAGACCUCAGUGAGCAGGUCAUACUCCAACAAAAAUUAGGUAAAAAGAAAAUAUCUUGUCCAACAGAAUCAGACAAACAAGUUGCAAGUCUAACAGACCAGGAUUACUGGGCCACAUUCCCGUGGGACAUAAAACAUCAAGACAGAACUUCACUUGACCAUCACCAUGGAGCUACACCUCCACUCAGUCAUGAAGACCAGGAUUCAGAUGCAACAGACCUUAGUUCCCCAAUCAUACUCCAACAAGAACUAAGUAAAAAGGAAAUAUUUUGUCCUACAGAGUUAGACAAGCAGGUCACAAGCCUAACAGACCAGGAUUAUUGGACCACAUUCCCAUGGGACAUAAAACACCAAGACAGAACUUCACUUGGCCAUCACCAUGGAGCUACACCUCCACUCAGUCAUGAAGACCAGGAUUCAGAUGCAACAGACCCUAGUCCCCCAACCACACUCCAACAAGAACUAAGUAAAAAGGAAACAUCUUGUCCCACAGAACUAGACAAGCAAGUCACAAAUGUAACAGACAAGGAUUACUGGGCAACAUCUCCAUGGAAUAUAAAACAUCAAGACAGAAAAUCCCUUGACUUUCACCACAAGGCUAUAACUCUAUCCAGCCAUGGUGACAAAACUUCAAAUAUAUCUGACCUCAGUGCCCAUGCUAUACUCCAACAAGAACAAGGAAAAAGGGAGACAUUCUGGUCAACAGAACUAGACCAACAGGCCACAACUCUAACAGAUAAGGUUUACUGGACAACACCUACAUUGGAUCUAAAUCAUGAAGACAGAAUUUCACUUGACUUUCACCAUGAGGCCACUUAUCCACCCAGAAAUGAGGUCCAGGAUUCAGACUCAGAUGACCUCAGUGCCCAGGCCACACUCCAGCAAGAACUAGGCAAAAAGAAAACUUCUUGUCCUACAGAAGUAGACCAGCAGGCCAUAAAUCUAACAGAUGAGGUUUGCUGGAUAACAUUGCCAUGGGACAUAAAGCACCAAGACAGAACUUUCCCUGAUCCUUAUCAUGAAGUCACAUCUCCACCCAGACAUGAAGACCAGGAUUCAGAUGUGUCAGAACUCAGUACUCAAACCAUAAUUCAACCAGAACUAAAUGAAUGGAAAACAUUUUGGUCCAGAGAAGCAAACCGACAGGUUACAACUCUAAUAGACAAGGUUUACUGGGUAACACCCAUGUUGGAUCCAAAAUACCUGGACAGAACUUCACCUGAUCUUCAUCAUGAGAUCACACCUCCAUCCAGCUAUGAAGAACAGGAUUCAGAUUUCAUAUACCUCAGUGGCGAGGCCACACUCCAACAAGAACUAGGCAAAAGGAAAGCAUCUUCUCCUACAGAGCUAGACCAGCAGGCCAAAACUCUAAAAGAUGAGGUUUCCUGGGCAACAUUGUCAUGGGACAGAACUUCACCUGCCACGCCCCAUGAGCCUACAAGCCCAUCCAGCCAUGAAGAUGAUAGUUCAGCUAUAUCAGACCUCAGUGCUCAGUCCAUACUCCAAGAAGAAUUAGAUAAAUGGAAAACAUCUUGUCCCACAGAACUAGAUCAGCAGGCCAGAAUUCUAAAAGAUGAGGUUUCCUGGGCAACAUCCUCAUGGGGCAUAAAAUACCCAGGUAGAAAUUCACCUGAUAAUCACCUUGAGGCUACACCUUCAUCCAACCAUGAUUAUCAGGAUUCAGAUCUGUCAGACUUCAGUGCUCAGGAAACACUCCAAUUAGAUAUAAAUGAAUGGGAAAAACUUUGGCCAACAGAACUGGAUCAGGAGGGCACAACUCUACCAGACCAGGCUUCCUGGGAAAUCUCCCCAUGGGAUAUAAAACAGCAAGACAGAACUUCACCUGAUACUGACCAUACAACCUCAACAUCAUCUAGCCAUGAAAGGAAGGAUGGGGAUGUACCAGAUCUCAAUGCUGAGGCUAUACCCCAACCAAAACUAGACCAAUGGGAAAUAAUGCCAUCAAUACUAGAUCAAGAGUUAAGAGUUGAUCUCACAAUUCAACACUCCAGGACAAUACCUUCAGUGAGCAUAAUAGAGUCCCAGAAUGUGGUUCUAUCUGAUCCUGAGCACAAAAUCAUACCUCCAUCCAGCAAUGACUACCCAGUUGGGGAUAUAUCCAAGCCAAAUACCAAGAUUACACUCCAACAAGAUCAAGAUGACUGGGAUAUAUUUUGGACAAGACUAGACCAUCAGGACACAGCUUCACUCAACAAUGACUAUCAGAUCCAACAUGUCCCAGGCCCUAAAGCUGACAUAAUUCAAAAAGAACAAGAAGAUUUAGAUAUAUUUUGGACAAGAACAUUAGACUAUCGGGCCAUGACUCCAACAAACAAGGAUUACUGGACUGCAUUUCCUUUACUGAACAUAGAACAUCACAAUAUGAUACAACCUGAUCCUGACCACCAAGUAUCAUGUACAACCAGCCCUGACCAUCAAACUGAAGACACAACAGAUCCCAAUGUCCAGAGUAUAUUUCAAACAAAAAAAGAUUCAUGGGAAACAAUGCCACAGGAAAUAGAACGCAAGACCCUAAUUCUCACAACCCAUGAUCAGGAAGCAAUAUUUCUACUGGGCAAAAAUCACCAGGACACAAAUCUCCCUGGCUCUGACAAGCAAGAUUUCAUUCUAUCCAUCCAUGACACUGAGGAUACUGAUGUACCAGGCCCCAAUACUUUAGUUACAAUACAACCAGAAAAAGGACAAUGGGAAUUGAUGCCCCCUGAAACAGAUCACAUGGCAAUAAUAAGUUUCACAGUUCAUCAGCAGGAAGCAACACCUUCACUAUCUUUAAACCACAAGGACACAAAUCCAUCUAACUCUAUCCAUUGGGCAGCUACUUCACUGAUCAUUUAGUCUGUCAUUAGGCCAGCUUUUCUUAGUUAAAUUGAAUAGACCACUGGGAAACAAUGCCACCAGCCCAGGAUUUCAACAACACAAAACUAUAAGGCAACAACUAUACUGAGCAUUGACAUAAGAAUGCCAAACCUUGACUGACCCCCAAAAUCAUGACAUACUUCUACACAACUCUAAGGAUGCAAAAUCAAAUUCCAAUGCCAAGAUCAUAUUUCAAAGAAAACAAAGCACUGGCCAAGAACAGAUAAUCCGACCAUAGUCCUUAUAGAUCAGGUGUCUGAAACAAUAUUUCUCCUCAAUUUAGACCCCAAGAACACAGUUCUACCUGAACCAGACUCUAAUUCCACCAUGCCUGACCAUUAGACUAUGGAUGCAUCAGGCAGCAAUGCCCAAAUCUCAUUUCAUAUACAAAUCCACUUAAAAGCAGUUCAUAUACCUAUGAAGGUAUAACUCUUAUUAUCCAGGAUCAUGAAAAAACACAUUUAGUGGAUUUAGACAACCAGGCAUUGAGGGCCACAUCUAGAAGUCAACAGCCAUUUGCAGGGUAAAUAGCCAUGAAGAGCAAGAGCAAUAGAGAAGAGGGGGCAAGGACAUAUUGGACAUUAAUCAGAUCCCUGCUAAAAGUAUUUCAAAGGUGACCAAGG